RNAcentral lists this ribosomal RNA (3013 nucleotides) under Staphylococcus aureus. Its description in RNAcentral is "23S ribosomal RNA". It matches the Rfam family "Bacterial large subunit ribosomal RNA". Lineage: Bacteria; Bacillati; Bacillota; Bacilli; Caryophanales; Staphylococcaceae. The record is from RNAcentral.
GGGUUGUGAGGUUAAGCGACUAAGCGUACACGGUGGAUGCCCUGGCAGUCAGAGGCGAUGAAGGACGUGCUAAUCUGCGAUAAGCGCCGGUAAGGUGAUAUGAACCGUUAUAACCGGCGAUUUCCGAAUGGGGAAACCCAGUGUGAUUCGUCACACUAUCAUUAACUGAAUCCAUAGGUUAAUGAGGCGAACCGGGGGAACUGAAACAUCUAAGUACCCCGAGGAAAAGAAAUCAACCGAGAUUCCCCCAGUAGCGGCGAGCGAACGGGGAGGAGCCCAGAGCCUGAAUCAGCAUGUGUGUUAGUGGAAGCGUCUGGAAAGGUGCGCGAUACAGGGUGACAGCCCCGUACACAAAAGCGCAUGUGCUGUGAGCUCGAUGAGUAGGGCGGGACACGUGGUAUCCUGUCUGAAUAUGGGGGGACCAUCCUCCAAGGCUAAAUACUCCUGACUGACCGAUAGUGAACCAGUACCGUGAGGGAAAGGCGAAAAGAACCCCGGCGAGGGGAGUGAAAAAGAACCUGAAACCGUGUACGUACAAGCAGUGGGAGCACAGGUUUACCUGUGUGACUGCGUACCUUUUGUAUAAUGGGUCAGCGACUUAUAUUCUGUAGCAAGGUUAACCGUAUAGGGGAGCCGUAGGGAAACCGAGUCUUAACCGGGCGUUAAGUUGCAGGGUAUAGACCCGAAACCCGGUGAUCUAGCCAUGGGCAGGUUGAAGGUUGGGUAACACUAACUGGAGGACCGAACCGACUAAUGUUGAAAAAUUAGCGGAUGACCUGUGGCUGGGGGUGAAAGGCCAAUCAAACCGGGAGAUAGCUGGUUCUCCCCGAAAGCUAUUUAGGUAGCGCCUCGUGAAUUCAUCUCCGGGGGUAGAGCACUGUUUCGGCUAGGGGGCCAUCCCGGCUUACCAACCCGAUGCAAACUGCGAAUACCGGAGAAUGUUAUCACGGGAGACACACGGCGGGUGCUAACGUCCGUCGUGAAGAGGGAAACAACCCAGACCGCCAGCUAAGGUCCCAAAGUCAUGGUUAAGUGGGAAACGAUGUGGGAAGGCCCAGACAGCCAGGAUGUUGGCUUAGAAGCAGCCAUCAUUUAAAGAAAGCGUAAUAGCUCACUGGUCGAGUCGGCCUGCGCGGAAGAUGUAACGGGGCUAAACCAUGCACCGAAGCUGCGGCAGCGAACGUAUCACCCAAGACAACUUUACGGAGUUGACGAUUGACGGAGCGAAGCGACGUCAAAGCGUUCAUUAAAGUCGAGUUGGCUUAGGGAUACGUUCGUUGGGUAGGGGAGCGUUCUGUAAGCCUGUGAAGGUGUGUCGUGAGGCAUGCUGGAGGUAUCAGAAGUGCGAAUGCUGACAUAAGUAACGAUAAAGCGGGUGAAAAGCCCGCUCGCCGGAAGACCAAGGGUUCCUGUCCAACGUUAAUCGGGGCAGGGUGAGUCGACCCCUAAGGCGAGGCCGAAAGGCGUAGUCGAUGGGAAACGGGUUAAUAUUCCCGUACUUGGUGUUACUGCGAAGGGGGGACGGAGAAGGCUAUGUUGGCCGGGCGACGGUUGUCCCGGUUUAAGCGUGUAGGUGUGUGUUCCAGGUAAAUCCGGUUCACUUUAACACUGAGGCGUGACGACGAGGCACUACGGUGCUGAAGCAACAAAUGCCCUGCUUCCAGGAAAAGCCUCUAAGCAUCAGGUAACACGAAAUCGUACCCCAAACCGACACAGGUGGUCAGGUAGAGAAUACCAAGGCGCUUGAGAGAACUCGGGUGAAGGAACUAGGCAAAAUGGUGCCGUAACUUCGGGAGAAGGCACGCUGACACGUAGGUGAAGUGAUUUACUCAUGGAGCUGAAGUCAGUCGAAGAUACCAGCUGGCUGCAACUGUUUAUUAAAAACACAGCACUGUGCAAACACGAAAGUGGACGUAUACGGUGUGACGCCUGCCCGGUGCCGGAAGGUUAAUUGAUGGGGUCAGCGCAAGCGAAGCUCCUGAUCGAAGCCCCGGUAAACGGCGGCCGUAACUAUAACGGUCCUAAGGUAGCGAAAUUCCUUGUCGGGUAAGUUCCGACCUGCACGAAUGGCGUAAUGAUGGCCAGGCUGUCUCCACCCGAGACUCAGUGAAAUUGAACUCGCUGUGAAGAUGCAGUGUACCCGCGGCAAGACGGAAAGACCCCGUGAACCUUUACUAUAGCUUGACACUGAACAUUGAGCCUUGAUGUGUAGGAUAGGUGGGAGGCUUUGAAGUGUGGACGCCAGUCUGCAUGGAGCCGACCUUGAAAUACCACCCUUUAAUGUUUGAUGUUCUAACGUGGACCCGUAAUCCGGGUUGCGGACAGUGUCUGGUGGGUAGUUUGACUGGGGCGGUCUCCUCCUAAAGAGUAACGGAGGAGCACGAAGGUUGGCUAAUCCUGGUCGGACAUCAGGAGGUUAGUGCAAUGGCAUAAGCCAGCUUGACUGCGAGCGUGACGGCGCGAGCAGGUGCGAAAGCAGGUCAUAGUGAUCCGGUGGUUCUGAAUGGAAGGGCCAUCGCUCAACGGAUAAAAGGUACUCCGGGGAUAACAGGCUGAUACCGCCCAAGAGUUCAUAUCGACGGCGGUGUUUGGCACCUCGAUGUCGGCUCAUCACAUCCUGGGGCUGAAGUAGGUCCCAAGGGUAUGGCUGUUCGCCAUUUAAAGUGGUACGCGAGCUGGGUUUAGAACGUCGUGAGACAGUUCGGUCCCUAUCUGCCGUGGGCGCUGGAGAACUGAGGGGGGCUGCUCCUAGUACGAGAGGACCGGAGUGGACGCAUCACUGGUGUUCGGGUUGUCAUGCCAAUGGCACUGCCCGGUAGCUAAAUGCGGAAGAGAUAAGUGCUGAAAGCAUCUAAGCACGAAACUUGCCCCGAGAUGAGUUCUCCCUGAGACUUAGAGUCUCCUGAAGGAACGUUGAAGACGACGACGUUGAUAGGCCGGGUGUGUAAGCGCAGCGAUGCGUUGAGCUAACCGGUACUAAUGAACCGUGAGGCUUAACCUUACAACGCCGAAG